RNAcentral lists this ribosomal RNA (395 nucleotides) under uncultured bacterium. Its description in RNAcentral is "bacterial SSU rRNA". It matches the Rfam family "Bacterial small subunit ribosomal RNA", at positions 358 to 770 of the family's 1533-position model. The record is from RNAcentral.
GGAAUAUUGGACAAUGGGCGCAAGCCUGAUCCAGCCAUGCCGCGUGAGUGAAGAAGGCCUUAGGGUUGGAAAGCUCUUUCAAUGGCGAAGAUAAUGACGGUACCCAGCGAAGAAGCUCCGGCUAAAUUCGUGCCAGCAGCCGCGGUAAUACGAAUGGAGCAAGCGUUGUUCGGAAUCACUGGGCUUAAAGCGUAUGUAGGCGGACUAGUAAGUCAGGAGUGAAAUCCCAGAGCUCAACUCUGGAACUGCUCUUGAAACUACUAGUCUAGAAUCCUGGAGAGGUUAGGAGAAUUCCGAGUGUAGAGGUGAAAUUCGCAGAUAUUCGGAGGAAUACCAGUGGCGUAGGCGCCUAACUGGACAGGUAUUGACGCUCAGAUACGAAAGCGUGGGGAGCA